RNAcentral lists this transfer RNA (87 nucleotides) under Thermincola carboxydiphila. RNAcentral's name for it is "tRNA-Ser". The record is from RNAcentral. Lineage: Bacteria; Bacillati; Bacillota; Clostridia; Eubacteriales; Thermincolaceae.
UUUUUUUGGGUGACGGUGUGCCCGUAUAUUUUGAAAAGAUACAAGCUAUACUGGGCGGGCGGGCCGUUCAAGCCAAUCAAUUGAACC